This 2719-nucleotide long non-coding RNA is filed under the name Homo sapiens (human). RNAcentral describes it as "non-protein coding lnc-OST4-6:5". Lineage: Eukaryota; Metazoa; Chordata; Mammalia; Primates; Hominidae. The record is from RNAcentral.
CUCCUGGGCCGGGCUCUCCUGAGCGAAGAGCAUCGGGAAGAGGCUUCCGCGGCAGCCUGCGGCCCCCGCCCAGGCGAAGAGGCCGGGAGGAGAGGAGAUUCCCUUCUGAGAACGUUCAUUGAGCGUCGAUGUGAAGGCCACGGCAUUGAGAGACUUGGUAGAACUGUUUCUGUUUUUCUUUCCUUUAUUGAUCAAUUGAUUGAUUGAUUGCCAGGGCCGCGCUCUGUCGCCCAGACUGGAGUGCAGUAGCGCGAUCUCAGCUCACUGUAACUUCCGCCACCCAGGUUCAAGCGACUCUCGUGCCUCAGCGUCCCGAGUAGCAGGGACUACAGGCUCCCGCUGCCAAGCCCAGCUAAUUUUUGUAUUUUUAGUAGAGACGGGGUUUCGCCAUGUUGGCUAGGCUGGUCUCGAACUCCUGACCUAAAGUGACCCACCCCACCCCCACCCCUCAGCCUCCCAAAGUGCUGGGAUUACAGGCGUGAGCCACGGCGCCCGGCCACUGUUUUUCUUUCCUUUCUCGUAGAGCUGGAAGGAUGGAAGGGAAGUAGUGCUCCUCAUAUCUAGGGAGAGAUUGAAGAUUAAAUGCUUCCUUCCUUCUAGGAAAGUGCUGGCUUUACUGUUGCUAGUGAUUAAACCUCGGGUUUAAUGGGCUAUACAAAUCUAUUGCCAAAGAACAAGGAAGAGGAUGGGGGCUUGAGGAAAGGGCAGAGUGUUGGGGAGCUGGGGUAGGAGGUGGAGAAUGGAGAAUAAUUUUUUUUUUUUUUUUUGAGACAGGAUCUUGCUUUGUCGCCCAGGCUGGAGUUCAGUGGCGCGAUCACGACUCACUGCAGCCUCAACUUCUAGGGCUCAGGUGAUCCCCCACCACGGAUCACCUGACCCACCACCACCCCCGGCUAAUCUUUGGUAUUUUUUGUAGAGACUGGGUUUUGCUGUGUUGCCCAGGCUGAUCUCAAACUCCUGGGCUCAGUGAUCCACCCUCUUCAGCCUCCCAAAGUGCUGGGAUUACAGGAGUGAGCCACCGCUCCUGGCCUCUGAGUUCUUCUCAUGGGAGGCUGAGAAAAGUCUGGGGGUCUGGGACAGCCAGGGCCGGGUUUCCCCUUCCAGGCAAUGAGAAAGAACAGGCUCUGCCUCCCACCAUAAGAGUCAAUCCCAAGUUCCAGAUGUGUCAGGGAAGCGAUGGAGAGCCCCAGACUUGAGGCAUCUGCAGACAGGUUCCUGCUCAGACAUCCACGUGGAGGGUGUUAGUAUCCUGGGAGCCUUCAGAACCUUGAAGCAUGCCAGCAGAGGAGAAUGAGGGAAGAUAAAAUCAAAGUGACUUAUCACAAUUAAGGAAAUGUGCUAUUUCAUGUACAACUGUGUGUGAGGAUGAGAUUCCUACCUGCCAUACUGAGGUAUUAUGAUAAGAACUAAGAGAGUCCAAAUUCCUACAGGAUGAACAGCUGAGGGAGCGAUGCAUUCCUUAGGAAGGAGUUUAGCUUCCCGAAGGAGACGGCAGCUGAGAUAGGUUCUGAGAAAUAGCAUUUUCAUUGGUUCCCCGGGCGCCGUGGCUCACGCCUGUAAUCCCAGCACUUCGGGAGGCCGAGGUGGGUAUCACCUGAGGUCAGGAGUUCGAAACCAGUCAGGCCAACAUGGUGAAACCCCAUCUCUACUAAAUACAAAAAAGUAGCCAGGUAUGAUGGCGCAGGCCUAUAAUCUCAGCUACUUGGGAGGCUGAGGCAGGAGAAUCGCUUGAACCUUGGAGGCGGAGGUUGCAGUGAGCCGAGAUUGUGCCACUGCACUCCAACCUGGGCAACAAGAGCUAAACUCCGUCUCAAAAAACCCAAAACAACAACAACAACAAAAAACAAAAUUGAAUGUUCACUGGCUGAGGGUUAGGGUGGGUGGAGAGAAAAUGCCAGUUGUGUGGAUCUGUUGAUGUAAAACAAAGGCCUAGAGGGUGGUAAACUGGAAGCAGUUCAAUGGGACAGUGCUUGAUGGGACUUUGGAGGUGAUGAGGUUUGAUAUAGUUUGGAUUUUUGUCCCUGCCCAAGUCUCAUGUUGAAUUGUAAUCCCCAGCGCUGGCAGUUGGGCCUGGUGGGAAGUGUUUGGAUCAUGGUGGUGGAUCCCUCAUGGUGGAUCCCAGUUCUCAUGAGAUCUGGUCAUUUAAAAGUGUGUGGCACCUCCCCACCACCUCUCUCUCUCGCUCGCUUGCUCGCUCCUGCUUUUACCAUGUGAUGUGCCUGCUCCCCCUUUGCCUUCCGCCAUGAUUGUAAGCUUCCUGAGGCUUCCCUAGAAGCAGAUGUCAGCAUUAUGCUUCCUAUACAGUCUGCAGAACUGUGAGCCAAUUAAACUUCUUUUCUUAUAAAUUACCCAGUCUAGAUGUUUCUUUAUAGCAAUGCAACAAUAGCCUCUUAUGAGUUUGGAAAGGGAUCUGAGCCCAUAUGCCAAGGAACUUGCCUGCCAAAUCUGGACUUUAUCCUUCAGGCCCUGGGAGACCAGUGAGAGGGUGGCAUAAUCCACUCUUUUGGAAGGGUAAAUGUGGCUGUGUGAAGUGUUGGUAGGGGAAGGCAGGGGGUGGGAGAUGAGCAUAUCUUGCUGCCUCCUUCUACCUGUCCUCCAGCCCCCUUAGGCCUGACCAUGGCUGACUUUGCAUCCGGUAGCUCUGAGAUACAGUGCCUUUGCCAAGGACCAUAUUUGAACUGAUCAUUAAUCAAUUCAUUUUGCAGAUCAUUGGUUUAGG